UUCCGUAGGUGAACCUGCGGAAGGAUCAUUUACACGAAUGUCCAACAUUUAAAACCUGAAUCUAACGGUGAAGAUCUGCUGGAGCGCAAGCACUAGCAGGACUUCGCGGGUAGUGAUUCGCGUUUCCCUCUUGUCGGUGAGGCGUGGGUUGCUAUCACUUUUAAACCAUUUUUAUACCUUUUCUAGAAUUCUUAAUGCGAUUUCCAAGUGAAAUCUUCUAUAUCACAACUUUUAGCGAUGGAUGCCUCGGCUCGGGUAACGAUGAAGGACGCAGCAAAAUGCGAUAAGCGCCGUGAAUGGCAGAAUUCCGUGAAUCAAGAGAACGCUGAACGCAUACUGCACUUUCAGGUCACUCCUGAAAGUAUGUCUGUUUCAGGGCGAUAAUGCAUAAAUGCUCUCAAUACACGCAUCACGCAAUUGUGUGAGUGGUCUUGAGAAGCGUCGUUGUGUGUCAGUGCAUAGGUGUCUCCACCCACUGACGCAUCAAAUUGCAAUUUGAGUUAUCAGCAAGCUUUCGCUUGACGGUUUUUUAAAUCUCUAAGUGAAAGUUUGCGUUUGUGCUCGAAUUCGUUUUCAUUUUUUGCAGAUUAAUUUCUGCAAUUGUUGCUUUUCGCAUGAAAUUAGACAAGGCUACCCGCUGAAUUUAAGCAUAUCAA
RNAcentral lists this ribosomal RNA (656 nucleotides) under uncultured eukaryote. RNAcentral describes it as "eukaryotic LSU rRNA". The stretch from base 227 to 381 matches the Rfam family "5.8S ribosomal RNA". The record is from RNAcentral.